This 253-nucleotide ribosomal RNA is filed under the name uncultured bacterium. RNAcentral describes it as "partial 16S ribosomal RNA". It matches the Rfam family "Bacterial small subunit ribosomal RNA", at positions 524 to 776 of the family's 1533-position model. The record is from RNAcentral.
GACAGAGGGUGCAAACGUUGUUCGGAAUUACUGGGCGUAAAGCGUGCGCAGGCGGUUCGUUGUGUCUGAUGUGAAAGCCCCGGGCUCAACCUGGGAAUGGCAUUGGAAACUGGCGAGCUAGAGUGUGGCAGAGGUCGGUGGAAUUCCGGGUGGAGCGGUGAAAUGCGUAGAGAUCCGGAGGAACACCAGGGGCGAAGGCGGCCGACUGGCCGAGUGCUGACGCUGAGGCGCGACGGCGUGGGGAGCAAACCGG